GCAGGUAUAGCUCAGUGGUAAAGCUCAUGCUUAGCAUGCACGAGGUCCUGGGUUCAAUCCCCAGUACCUCUG
This 72-nucleotide transfer RNA is filed under the name Camelus bactrianus (Bactrian camel). It matches the Rfam family "tRNA". Rfam says of the family: Transfer RNA (tRNA) molecules are approximately 80 nucleotides in length. Their secondary structure includes four short double-helical elements and three loops (D, anti-codon, and T loops). RNAcentral also lists the same sequence under 2 other names. Lineage: Eukaryota; Metazoa; Chordata; Mammalia; Artiodactyla; Camelidae. The record is from Rfam by way of RNAcentral.